Molecule: ribosomal RNA, 2902 nt
Filed under: Klebsiella pneumoniae
Lineage: Bacteria; Pseudomonadati; Pseudomonadota; Gammaproteobacteria; Enterobacterales; Enterobacteriaceae
Description: 23S ribosomal RNA
Rfam family: Bacterial large subunit ribosomal RNA
Source: RNAcentral
GGUUAAGCGACUAAGCGUACACGGUGGAUGCCCUGGCAGUCAGAGGCGAUGAAGGACGUGCUAAUCUGCGAAAAGCGUCGGUAAGGUGAUAUGAACCGUUAUAACCGGCGAUGUCCGAAUGGGGAAACCCAGUGCAAUUCGUUGCACUAUCGUUAACUGAAUACAUAGGUUAACGAGGCGAACCGGGGGAACUGAAACAUCUAAGUACCCCGAGGAAAAGAAAUCAACCGAGAUUCCCCCAGUAGCGGCGAGCGAACGGGGAGCAGCCCAGAGUCUGAAUCAGCUUGUGUGUUAGUGGAACGGUCUGGAAAGUCCGACGGUACAGGGUGAUAGUCCCGUACACCAAAAUGCACAGGUUGUGAACUCGAAGAGUAGGGCGGGACACGUGGUAUCCUGUCUGAAUAUGGGGGGACCAUCCUCCAAGGCUAAAUACUCCUGACUGACCGAUAGUGAACCAGUACCGUGAGGGAAAGGCGAAAAGAACCCCGGCGAGGGGAGUGAAAAAGAACCUGAAACCGUGUACGUACAAGCAGUGGGAGCACCUUCGGGUGUGACUGCGUACCUUUUGUAUAAUGGGUCAGCGACUUAUAUUCUGUAGCAAGGUUAACCGUAUAGGGGAGCCGCAGGGAAACCGAGUCUUAACUGGGCGUUAAGUUGCAGGGUAUAGACCCGAAACCCGGUGAUCUAGCCAUGGGCAGGUUGAAGGUUGGGUAACACUAACUGGAGGACCGAACCGACUAAUGUUGAAAAAUUAGCGGAUGACUUGUGGCUGGGGGUGAAAGGCCAAUCAAACCGGGAGAUAGCUGGUUCUCCCCGAAAGCUAUUUAGGUAGCGCCUCGUGAAUUCAUCUUCGGGGGUAGAGCACUGUUUCGGCUAGGGGGUCAUCCCGACUUACCAACCCGAUGCAAACUACGAAUACCGAAGAAUGUUAUCACGGGAGACACACGGCGGGUGCUAACGUCCGUCGUGAAGAGGGAAACAACCCAGACCGCCAGCUAAGGUCCCAAAGUCAUGGUUAAGUGGGAAACGAUGUGGGAAGGCACAGACAGCCAGGAUGUUGGCUUAGAAGCAGCCAUCAUUUAAAGAAAGCGUAAUAGCUCACUGGUCGAGUCGGCCUGCGCGGAAGAUGUAACGGGGCUAAACCAUGCACCGAAGCUGCGGCAGCGACACUAUGUGUUGUUGGGUAGGGGAGCGUUCUGUAAGCCUGCGAAGGUGACCUGUGAGGGUUGCUGGAGGUAUCAGAAGUGCGAAUGCUGACAUAAGUAACGAUAAAGCGGGUGAAAAGCCCGCUCGCCGGAAGACCAAGGGUUCCUGUCCAACGUUAAUCGGGGCAGGGUGAGUCGACCCCUAAGGCGAGGCCGAAAGGCGUAGUCGAUGGGAAACAGGUUAAUAUUCCUGUACUUGGUGUUACUGCGAAGGGGGGACGGAGAAGGCUAUGUUAGCCGGGCGACGGUUGUCCCGGUUUAAGCAUGUAGGCUGGUUGUCCAGGCAAAUCCGGAUAAUCAAGGCUGAGGUGUGAUGACGAGGUACUACGGUGCUGAAGUAACAAAUGCCCUGCUUCCAGGAAAAGCCUCUAAGCAUCAGGUAACAUUAAAUCGUACCCCAAACCGACACAGGUGGUCAGGUAGAGAAUACCAAGGCGCUUGAGAGAACUCGGGUGAAGGAACUAGGCAAAAUGGUGCCGUAACUUCGGGAGAAGGCACGCUGGUGUGUAGGUGAAGUCCCUGCGGAUGGAGCUGAGACCAGUCGAAGAUACCAGCUGGCUGCAACUGUUUAUUAAAAACACAGCACUGUGCAAACACGAAAGUGGACGUAUACGGUGUGACGCCUGCCCGGUGCCGGAAGGUUAAUUGAUGGGGUUAUCCGUAAGGAGAAGCUCUUGAUCGAAGCCCCGGUAAACGGCGGCCGUAACUAUAACGGUCCUAAGGUAGCGAAAUUCCUUGUCGGGUAAGUUCCGACCUGCACGAAUGGCGUAAUGAUGGCCAGGCUGUCUCCACCCGAGACUCAGUGAAAUUGAACUCGCUGUGAAGAUGCAGUGUACCCGCGGCAAGACGGAAAGACCCCGUGAACCUUUACUAUAGCUUGACACUGAACAUUGAGCCUUGAUGUGUAGGAUAGGUGGGAGGCUUUGAAGCGUGGACGCCAGUCUGCGUGGAGCCAACCUUGAAAUACCACCCUUUAAUGUUUGAUGUUCUAACGUUGGCCCCUUACCGGGGUUGCGGACAGUGUCUGGUGGGUAGUUUGACUGGGGCGGUCUCCUCCCAAAGCGUAACGGAGGAGCACGAAGGUUAGCUAAUCCUGGUCGGACAUCAGGAGGUUAGUGCAAUGGCAUAAGCUAGCUUGACUGCGAGCGUGACGGCGCGAGCAGGUGCGAAAGCAGGUCAUAGUGAUCCGGUGGUUCUGAAUGGAAGGGCCAUCGCUCAACGGAUAAAAGGUACUCCGGGGAUAACAGGCUGAUACCGCCCAAGAGUUCAUAUCGACGGCGGUGUUUGGCACCUCGAUGUCGGCUCAUCACAUCCUGGGGCUGAAGUAGGUCCCAAGGGUAUGGCUGUUCGCCAUUUAAAGUGGUACGCGAGCUGGGUUUAGAACGUCGUGAGACAGUUCGGUCCCUAUCUGCCGUGGGCGCUGGAGAAUUGAGGGGGGCUGCUCCUAGUACGAGAGGACCGGAGUGGACGCAUCACUGGUGUUCGGGUUGUCAUGCCAAUGGCACUGCCCGGUAGCUAAAUGCGGAAGAGAUAAGUGCUGAAAGCAUCUAAGCACGAAACUUGCCCCGAGAUGAGUUCUCCCUGAGACUUUAAGUCUCCUGAAGGAACGUUGAAGACGACGACGUUGAUAGGCCGGGUGUGUAAGCGCAGCGAUGCGUUGAGCUAACCGGUACUAAUGAACCGUGAGGCUUAACCUU